Molecule: non-coding RNA, 1095 nt
Organism: Biomphalaria pfeifferi
Lineage: Eukaryota; Metazoa; Mollusca; Gastropoda; Planorbidae
Source: the annotation of a GenBank genome assembly
AUAUAUAUAUAUAUAUAUAUAUUUAUAUUUGGUUAAAUCACUUAAAAUCCUUAAGCAUUGCACAUUUAUCAGGAGUGUCUUUCAGGUUGGACUGUUCAUAGCUUGCUCAUUUGAAUUGUUCAUUUUGUUUACAACUUUCUUGAUCAUGUCUGCUAUUGUGAAAAUUUGUUGUUCAUUUUCUAUACUACUAUCUUGAUCAUGUCUGCAAUUCUUGUGAAAAUGAAAUCAUAUUUAUUUGUUAUUUAUUGUGUGUGUUCUGUAUGUAAUCCUCUUGGGGCCAAAGAUAAUUUCAAAAAGUCAUUUUUUUUUUUCAUUUAUUUAUUCAAAUCCCAACAAAUUUUGGGUAGACCAUGUGCAAAUCAUGUACAGACCAAGAACCCAGCGCUUAACAGACCAUAUCCAGUUUUUUGUUAUAUUAGUUGUAUAUUCAAAUUUUUUUAAAAACAUUUUCUAAAGAUGAAGAAAGAUUUCAUUUUCUAUGUAUCACAAAACCAUUUGUAUGUUUGUCUUCUCAAGCCUCUAAGAUGAUUUUUUUGUUCUUAUAGUGUUUGACCUUUUAGUUGGACUAUGUCUUGUGCAUAAUAGUAUUUACAAUUAAAUUAUUCUGACAUGAUUGUUUGAAAAUGUUUCAAGACUAGUCUCUUCCAGGGGAACAAAUUGUCUCUUGCGACAUUUUACUUGUCUUUGUUGGUAUAUUUUCCACCUGAAACUUUUUAAAGACAAAAUGUUGACCUAAUUGACUUGUGCAUCAAGGCUUAUAUUAAAAAAAUUGACUUGACUACUAUAAAGGACUGUUACAGCCUCUUUACAAGACAUCGACAACUCCAAUGUAGAACUGUUACAGCCUCCUUUUAAGACUUUGACUACUCCAAUAUAGAACUGUUACAGCCUCUUUACAACUUUUCACUUGAAGUUGAUAACUUUUAUAUUCAUAAUUUUUUAAUGAAAAAAUACUUAAAAUUUCUGACAUUCUUUACAAAUUGAAUAUGAAAUAAUUUCUUUUUCCAGAAUCAAAACUUUGGCUUUUGUUUUUCUCAUUUUGCUUUUGACUUGUAGAACAAGUUUAAUCCCGAACAUUAUAGAGAAACUUUAGUU